CCUACGGGGCGCAGCAGUGAGGAAUAUUGGUCAAUGGGAGAGAUCCUGAACCAGCCAAGCCGCGUGAGGGAAGACGGCCCUAUGGGUUGUAAACCUCUUUUGUCGGAGAACAAAACCCGGGACGUGUCCCGGACUGCGUGUAUCCGAAGAAAAAGCAUCGGCUAACUCCGUGCCAGCAGCCGCGGUAAUACGGAGGAUGCGAGCGUCAUCCGGAUUUAUUGGGUUUAAAGGGUGCGCAGGCGGCCUGUUAAGUCAGCGGUAAAAGCCCGGGGCUCAACCCCGGCGAGCCGUUGAAACUGGCGGGC
RNAcentral lists this ribosomal RNA (305 nucleotides) under uncultured bacterium. Its description in RNAcentral is "bacterial SSU rRNA". It matches the Rfam family "Bacterial small subunit ribosomal RNA", at positions 338 to 641 of the family's 1533-position model. The record is from RNAcentral.